Long non-coding RNA from Sarcophilus harrisii (Tasmanian devil), 534 nucleotides. RefSeq lists it as uncharacterized. Lineage: Eukaryota; Metazoa; Chordata; Mammalia; Dasyuromorphia; Dasyuridae. The transcript is spliced from 3 exons. The record is from RefSeq and is a predicted model, not a curated record.
CAGGAACAUACAUGAUCAGAUGCAUUUUGUCAUAAUACAGUGAUUAAUCAAGCAAUCAACAAGCAUCUAUGAAGUUCUUAUUAUGUAUGAGGCCGUGUGCUAAGCACUGAUGAUACAAAUGCAAAGAUUGAUCUACUCUCAAGGAGUCUGCAUUCUAUCCAGAAAGAAAACGAUUGCUAUCAUCUUGAACUUGAAGUAUCUUUGUAUCUUCAACAAAAAGAUAAAAGAGACACUGAGGAAUUGUAGUCACUGCUCUUCAAGAUGACUGGCCAGGGGCCUGUAUUUUCUUUCAUAUAGGACAACAGCUGCACAGCACAACCUUGAUGCAACCUCAUAAGGGUAAAAUAAAAUGUAUUUGUGGUUGUUUUAGUCUUAGCAUUUCAAAUUUCCACACUCCCAUUUGACAAAUUUUCUCACUGCCAAAAUGCAUUCAACCCUGAAACUUCCAUAGCAGUUUGUAUGGGGGCACCCAUGAUACUUCAUGCUUGUCUAGGCCAUAAUUUAUACUUGAGCUAACUUGUUUGGGUAUUGUGU